UACGUAGGGUGCAAGCGUUAAUCGGAAUUACUGGGCGUAAAGCGUGCGCAGGCGGUUAUGUAAGACAGGUGUGAAAUCCCCGGGCUUAACCUGGGAACUGCAUUUGUGACUGCAUAGCUAGAGUACGGUAGAGGGGGAGUGGAAUUCCGCGUGUAGCAGUGAAAUGCGUAGAUAUGACGGAGGAACACCGAUGGCGAAGGCAAUCCCUGGACCUGUACUGACGCUCAUGCACGA
RNAcentral lists this ribosomal RNA (234 nucleotides) under uncultured bacterium. RNAcentral describes it as "partial 16S ribosomal RNA". It matches the Rfam family "Bacterial small subunit ribosomal RNA", at positions 524 to 756 of the family's 1533-position model. The record is from RNAcentral.